Molecule: non-coding RNA, 709 nt
Organism: Pseudonaja textilis
Lineage: Eukaryota; Metazoa; Chordata; Lepidosauria; Squamata; Elapidae
Source: RefSeq, a predicted model, not a curated record
GAUAGAUAGAUAGAUAGAUAGAUAUGUUAAAGUGGAUAAUGGUUUUGUGACCAUAAUCAGGUGUAAUUUUAUUGAAGUAAUCAACAUUUUAAUAAUUCCAGAUUUCAUACAAAUACAAAAAUAUGCAAAAGAUGGACCCAUUUGAAUAAAUUAUAUAGCCUAUUAUAAUUGAGAAUCAUUAUAAACCUCUGUCCUACAUAACAUCACCUAUCUAGCAACUCUGUCCACCUGUUGUAAAAAGAAAUCCAUUUUUUAAUAUCAUCUUUGAGUUUAGGUAAUGAAAUCUUUGAGUUUAGGCAAUGAAAUCGGCUCAGUCCAGUUCCUAUCCCAAUGUAAAUGCAAUUCUCAUGCAAUUUCUCCUCCAGCACUAAGAUACAUAUGCAUACAUUCCCCACAUUUGUCACAGAGAAGGCAUAUGUUAUGCACAAAAUCUAAAUUGUUUUUUAUAUAAAAAAGACUUGCUGUGGUACAUCUGUCUGCAUAAGCUGUUCAUUUUCGAUCCCACUAGGAAGUAUUCCAUCCAAAAGGUCCUGCCUCCACAACGGGCUCAGCUCACCCACUUUAAAGCAAAAUAUUUAAAAUAACUGAUACAAUUAUUAAUAUAUCAUUUUACUCAAAUAUUUAUUUUCUUAAUAUCUGUAUUUUCAAAAGCAGUAAAAAUGACUUAUUGUCAACUAUUUAUAAUUUGCUUUGUUGAUUUAUCUCUUGG